UACGUAGGGUCCGAGCGUUGUCCGGAAUUACUGGGCGUAAAGAGCUCGUAGGUGGUUUGUCGCGUUGUUCGUGAAAACUCACAGCUCAACUGUGGGCGUGCGGGCGAUACGGGCAGACUAGAGUACUGCAGGGGAGACUGGAAUUCCUGGUGUAGCGGUGGAAUGCGCAGAUAUCAGGAGGAACACCGGUGGCGAAGGCGGGUCUUUGGGCAGUAACUGACGCUGAGACACGAAGGCCAGGGGAGCAAACGGG
This 253-nucleotide ribosomal RNA is filed under the name uncultured bacterium. RNAcentral describes it as "partial 16S ribosomal RNA". It matches the Rfam family "Bacterial small subunit ribosomal RNA", at positions 524 to 776 of the family's 1533-position model. The record is from RNAcentral.